GAUAAUAUCAGGUAAGAUGAGGUCUGUAUGAGUUGGUAUAGAGCCGGUGGAGGGGUGCUGGAGAGAGCAGCAGAGUAGCAAGAGACUAUGGCCAGGUGACAGAGGACCUAGUAAACCAUGUUAAGGAGUUUGAACUUUAUCCUGAGGGCAAAAGGGGAGCCAGUGAAGGGUUUUAAGGCGAAGAGUGGCAUAGUGUGCCUAGAGUCUGGAAAGUUGCCUCAGCUGCUGCGUGCAAGUUUGGGAAGAGGAGAGCCCAGAGAGAAGCCUGGAACAAGACCCCAGCAUGCGGGUCCUGCCUCAGGGCCUUUGCUCUGGCCCUUCCCUCUGCCUGGACUCCUGCUGCUGUUUCUCUGAUUCAGAUGUUGCCACAGAUGUCACUGUCCCCCCUCUCCCCACCAAGAAACUGGUAACACGGGCCUUUUUGGCUGGAUGACGAGUACUGCCUGAAUUUCGUACCAUGUGUCUAUUCAAAUAAAUUGUUAGUUCAAAUAAAAAUGUCUCCUUGGAGACAUUCCUUUCUGGAAAGCAAACUUGCCUGCUUACUUCCUCUUAUGGGGCGAUAAUUUUCCCUUAUGAAGUAUAUAAUACAGUCUGUAAUUGCCAUGGGUUGUUUUGUUUUGUUUUUAAUCUCUUUUUUAGUUUAUUGUCUCUCCCCCUUGUGAGGACAUGGACUUUGCCUUGUCUUACCUACCACCUACUAGAGUCCUGGCACAUAGUAGGUGCUCAGUAUUUAUUGACAGUGAUGAAAAGAAGGUGGUGGGGGGCAGGAAGGAUGCCUGGGCUGAUAAUGGAGAGUUACCCUACAAAGCAGGAGGUGAAAGGGUUGGGCAUAGCUCCAAGCAGGAGGGAAGAGUUGGCAGUUUGAGGGCUCUGAGAAGAUCAGGCUGAUGGGACCAGGGGCAAGAAAUCCAGGGUGUGAGGCAGGCAAGACUACACCCGUGUUACAUAUGAGAAAUCUGAGACUCAGAAAGGGCAAGAGACGGACCCAAGUUGCCCAGUAGGCAAGGAUUUGAGUUUAGAAUCCAGGUCCCAACUCAAGGUUAUGUAGAACCUCAUGGUUACCGAGCACCUAUAUGC
RNAcentral lists this long non-coding RNA (1077 nucleotides) under Mustela putorius furo (domestic ferret). RNAcentral describes it as "lncRNA (ENSMPUG00000026338.1)". Lineage: Eukaryota; Metazoa; Chordata; Mammalia; Carnivora; Mustelidae. The record is from RNAcentral.